RNAcentral lists this ribosomal RNA (636 nucleotides) under Aspergillus cervinus. RNAcentral describes it as "eukaryotic LSU rRNA". It matches the Rfam family "Eukaryotic large subunit ribosomal RNA", at positions 1 to 649 of the family's 3401-position model. RNAcentral also lists the same sequence under 2 other names. The record is from RNAcentral. Lineage: Eukaryota; Fungi; Ascomycota; Eurotiomycetes; Eurotiales; Aspergillaceae.
GGUUGACCUCGGAUCAGGUAGGGAUACCCGCUGAACUUAAGCAUAUCAAUAAGCGGAGGAAAAGAAACCAACCGGGAUUGCCUCAGUAACGGCGAGUGAAGCGGCAAGAGCUCAAAUUUGAAAUCUGGCCCCUUCGGGGUCCGAGUUGUAAUUUGCAGAGGAUGCUUCGGAUGCGGCCCCUGUCUAAGUGCCCUGGAACGGGCCGUCGGAGAGGGUGAGAAUCCCGUCUGGGAUGGGGUGUCCGUGUCCGUGUGAAGCUCCUUCGACGAGUCGAGUUGUUUGGGAAUGCAGCUCUAAAUGGGUGGUAAAUUUCAUCUAAAGCUAAAUACUGGCCGGAGACCGAUAGCGCACAAGUAGAGUGAUCGAAAGAUGAAAAGCACUUUGAAAAGAGAGUUAAACAGCACGUGAAAUUGUUGAAAGGGAAGCGCAUGCGACCAGACUCGCUCGCGGGGUUCAGCCGGCAUUCGUGCCGGUGUACUUCCCCGCGGGCGGGCCAGCGUCGGUUUGGGCGGCCGGUCAAAGGCCCCCGGAAUGUAUCACCUCUCGGGGUGUCUUAUAGCCGGGGGUGCAAUGCGGCCAGCCUGGACCGAGGAACGCGCUUCGGCACGGACGCUGGCAUAAUGGUCGUAAGCGACC